This 1260-nucleotide long non-coding RNA is filed under the name Salmo salar (Atlantic salmon). RNAcentral's name for it is "lncRNA (ENSSSAG00000107487.1)". Lineage: Eukaryota; Metazoa; Chordata; Actinopteri; Salmoniformes; Salmonidae. The record is from RNAcentral.
AACAGGGUGUCACACCCCGGUCUACAUCUUGGCAGAGACACAUAUACGUAUGUUGUAUACCUGGUUCCUAUUUUGAACAUCUACGUGUACUUUUUGUCUUUUUGACAUCCAUCAGCUAACUUCGUUGAUUUAAGGUAGACCAGAAAAGCCACAUCCCUGAUUGGCAGAUGAGCGGCAACCCUGAUUACAAGCACCUGCUGCUCAUCGGUUCUUUACAAAAUGCUGUUUUGAAUUAGAAUAAAGUUGUACCUAAACACCGAAGAAGGCUGUAAAGAAAGUCAGACCAACAAGAUCAACAAGAGAAUGGGUGGAGAUAAAUCAAAAAACCGAGUGGAUAAGGCAGAGAAAGAUCUCGAUCAAGCCAAAACGGGAAAAAAGAAAGUGAAGAAGGGAAAGACGACUGAAAACGAUUACAACCAACUCCUUGCUAAGAACGUGAGACUGGAAACAGAACAAAAGAUGGAAGAAGAACGAAGACAGGAGCUCGAGAAGGAAAGACUAAAAUUAAUAGAACACAAUAGACAGCGAGAGAAAGAUGAAAGGACCAGGAUUAAGCAGGAAAAAGAGAUUGCAAAAGGAGAUCAGAACACUGUAUAAAAAAAGGGCAUAAACUGUUUAAUUUAUCCACAAAAUGUAUUAUUGAACAAAGCACACAAUCAUUGUAAACUUUUAAUAUCUACAAUUGCACUGCCUGUUUUAUUUUCCUCAAAUGAUGUGCUUAAAGGGAUAGUUCACACAAAUUACAGUGGUUUUAUAACCCUGUUAGCAGUCUUUUGGUUUUGUUUACCUGGCUGCUGUCGCCAAAUGCUUUUCAAAACCAAUGCCUGUCAAUAUCUGAGAAUCCUCUGUAGCGUUGCAAUAAAUAGAUUCUAUUGAUGCCUUGUUGUCCGAUCUCUUCUGACACUUCACACCUGAGACAGAAAAAUCCAGACAGUUUAUUCAGGAUGUAUUUACAUUCAACUCUUAUAGGCCAGCAUUCAAUGCAAGGCAUGCUUUAUAUAAAAAGUACAUGUAUCUUGACCAGAAGCAGUAUGUUGGCCAGUAGCGUAAUUAGGCCUGGGCUUGUUGUUGUUUUUGGUCCAGCUCUGACCCUUUUGAUGGUAUUAUUAUUAUUAUUAUAAAAAAAUAUAUACAUUUCAGUCUGAGUUUUCAUAACCACACAUCAGUUGUUCUAUUGACAUUUUAAUGACUAAAAUAAACUAUCCAAUAUACUUUGCUAGGCAGUAGCAGGCACUGCAAGAAGCCCCUGGUGUGACUCAG